GCCGGGCAUGGCGGUGCGUGCCUGUAAUCCUGGCUACUUGGAGGCUGAGGCAGGAGAAUCACUUGAACUCGGGAGGUGGAGGUUGCAGUGAGCCGAGAUUGCACCACUGCACUCCAGCCUGGGCAACAGAGUGAGACUUUGUCUUGA
This is a non-coding RNA of Homo sapiens (human), 147 nucleotides long. It matches the Rfam family "Metazoan signal recognition particle RNA". Rfam says of the family: The signal recognition particle (SRP) is a universally conserved ribonucleoprotein. It is involved in the co-translational targeting of proteins to membranes. The eukaryotic SRP consists of a 300-nucleotide 7S RNA and six proteins: SRPs 72, 68, 54, 19, 14, and 9. The record is from Rfam. Lineage: Eukaryota; Metazoa; Chordata; Mammalia; Primates; Hominidae.